Molecule: ribosomal RNA, 1229 nt
Filed under: metagenome
Description: bacterial LSU rRNA
Rfam family: Bacterial large subunit ribosomal RNA
Source: RNAcentral
CCUUGUGACGGAUCUCGAGGAUUGUCUGCCCUUAUCGGAUUGGGUGGGCCGUUUAGAGGUUCCUGGAAAUAGCCCUCCAUCAGACCGUACCCUAAACCGACACAGGUGGACUGGUAGAGUAUACCAAGGCGCUUGAGAGAACCACGUUAAAGGAACUCGGCAAAAUGCUCCCGUAAGUUCGCGAGAAGGGAGCCCCGUCUGUACGCAAGUAUGGGCGGGGGGCACAAACUAGGGGGUGGCGACUGUUUACUUAAAACACAGGGCUGUGCGAAGCCGUAAGGCGACGUAUACAGUCUGACGCCUGCCCGGUGCUGGAAGAUUAAGAGGAGGGGUGCAAGCUCUGAAUUGAAGUCCCAGUAAACGGCGGCCGUAACAAUAACGGUCCUAAGGUAGCGAAAUUCCUUGUCGGGUAAGUUCCGACCUGCACGAAUGGCGUAACGAUCUCCCCGCUGUCUCUAACGUGGACUCAGCGAAAUUGAACUGUGUGUCAAGAUGCACACUACCCGCGGUUAGACGGAAAGACCCCAUGAACCUUUACUCCAGCUUUGCACUGGUAUCAGGAUUGUGAUGUGCAGGAUAGGUGGUAGGCAUCGAAGCGGGGACGCCAGUUCCCGUGGAGCCUCCCUUGAGAUACCACCCUUCGCCAUCUUGAUAUCUAACCGCGGCCCGUUAUCCGGGUCCGGGACCCUGCAUGGUGGGGAGUUUGACUGGGGCGGUCGCCUCCCAAACAGUAACGGAGGCGCGCGAUGGUUGGCUCAGACCGGUCGGAAAUCGGUCGUUGAGUGCAAUGGCAGAAGCCAGCCUGACUGCAAGACUGACAAGUCGAGCAGAGACGAAAGUCGGUCAUAGUGAUCCGGUGGUCCCAAGUGGGAGGGCCAUCGCUCAACGGAUAAAAGGUACUCUGGGGAUAACAGGCUGAUGAUGCCCAAGAGUCCAUAUCGACGGCAUCGUUUGGCACCUCGAUGUCGGCUCAUCUCAUCCUGGGGCUGGAGCAGGUCCCAAGGGUAUGGCUGUUCGCCAUUUAAAGAGGUACGUGAGCUGGGUUUAGAACGUCGUGAGACAGUUCGGUCCCUAUCUGCCGUGGGUGCAGGAGACUUGAGAAGAGUUGACCCUAGUACGAGAGGACCGGGUUGAACGAACCACUGGUGGACCAGUUAUCGUGCCAACGGUAGUGCUGGGUAGCUAUGUUCGGACAGGAUAACCGCUGAAGGCAUCUAAGCGGGAAGCCC